AAUAAACGCUGGCGGCGUGCCUAACACAUGCAAGUCGCACGAGAAAGGGACUUCGGUCCCGAGUAAAGUGGCGCACGGGUGAGUAACGCGUAGGUAACCUGCCCCCGGGGUUGGGAUAAC
RNAcentral lists this ribosomal RNA (120 nucleotides) under uncultured bacterium. Its description in RNAcentral is "partial 16S ribosomal RNA". It matches the Rfam family "Bacterial small subunit ribosomal RNA", at positions 29 to 147 of the family's 1533-position model. The record is from RNAcentral.